AGAGUUUGAUCAUGGCUCAGAGUGAACGCUGGCGGCGUGGUUUAGGCAUGCAAGUCGAGCGAUCCUUUUUUUGUGGAAGAUACUUAAGAAAGCUUGCUUUCGAGAGUUGAUUUCACGUCGGGAUAGCGGCAAACGGGUGAGUAACGCGUGAACAACUUUCCCUAAAGACGAACACAGCAUCGUGAAAAUGAUGGUAAUAUUCGAUAUGGCCUUCGAAAUACAUGUUUCGAUGGUUAAAGGCGGGGACCGUAAGGCCCGCCACUUUAGGAUGGGUUCGCGACCUAUCAGCUUGUCGGCGGGGUAAUGGCCCACCAAGGCGUUUGACGGGUAGCUGGUCUGAGAGGAUGGUCAGCCACACUGGGACUGAGACACUGCCCAGACUCCUACGGGAGGCUGCAGUCGAGAAUCUUUAGCAAUGGACGAAAGUCUGACUAUGCGACGCCGCGUGCAGGAUGAAGGCCUUCGGGUUGUAAACUGCUUUUGUUAGGAAAGAAACCCCUGAGCAUAAUACGUUCAGGGUUGACGGUACCUAGCGAAUAAGCCACGGCCAACUCCGUGCCAGCAGCCGCGGUAAUACGGAGGUGGCGAGCGUUACUCGGAAUCAUUGGGUGUAAAGGGCAAGUAGGCGGCCUGAUAAGUGAGGGGUGAAAUCUUCCGUCACAAUCGGAAAACUGCCUUUCAAACUAUCAGGCUUGAGGCUGGAAGAGGGAAAUGGAAUUAGCAGUGUAAGGGUGAAAUCUGUAGAUAUUGCUAAGAACACCGGCGGCGAAGGCGAUUUCCUGGUCCAGAUCUGACGCUGAAUUGCGAAAGCUAGGGUAGCGAACAGAAUUAGAUACUCUGGUAGUCCUAGCCGUAAACGAUGAGCACUAGGUGUUGGGACUUCGGUCUCAGUGCCGCAGCUAGCGCAUUAAGUGCUCCACCUGGGGACUACGGCCGCAAGGCUAAAACUCAGAGGAAUCGAUGGGGACCCGCACAAGCGGUGGAACAUGUGGUUUAAUUCGAUGCUACGCGAAGAACCUCACCAGGACUUGACAUGUAAGAAGUAGUGAACCGAGAGGGGAACGACCCGUAAAGUCCGGGAACUUACACAGGUGCUGCAUGGCUGUCGUCAGCUCGUGUCGUGAGAUGUUGGGUUAAGUCCCGCAACGAGCGCAACCAUUGCCCCAUGUUGCUAAUCUUAUUAUCUUGCUUGCAAGUAGUAAGAAGCACUCUUGGGGGACUGCCUGGAAUAACCAGGAGGAAGGCGGAGAUGACGUCAAGUCAGUACGGCCCUUAUGUCCUGGGCUACACACGUGUUACAAUGGCUGGUACAAAGGGUUGCCAACCCGCGAGGGGGAGCUAAUCUCAAAAAGCCAGCCCCAGUUCGGAUUGGAGUCUGCAAUUCGACUCCAUGAAGCCGGAAUCGCUAGUAAUGGAAGAUCAGCUCGCUUCCGUGAAUACGUUCCCGGGUCUUGUACACACCGCCCGUCAAGCGAUGAAAGCUGGGGGUACCCGAAGUCCUAUGUAGAUAGGCCGAAGGUAAAACCGGUGAUUGGCGCUAAGUCGUAACAAGGUA
This 1555-nucleotide ribosomal RNA is filed under the name metagenome. Its description in RNAcentral is "bacterial SSU rRNA". It matches the Rfam family "Bacterial small subunit ribosomal RNA". The record is from RNAcentral.